RNAcentral lists this ribosomal RNA (497 nucleotides) under uncultured bacterium. RNAcentral describes it as "partial 16S ribosomal RNA". It matches the Rfam family "Bacterial small subunit ribosomal RNA", at positions 30 to 523 of the family's 1533-position model. The record is from RNAcentral.
AUUGAACGCUGGCGGCAUGCCUUACACAUGCAAGUCGAACGGUAACAGGUCUUCGGAUGCUGACGAGUGGCGAACGGGUGAGUAAUACAUCGGAACGUGCCCGAUCGUGGGGGAUAACGAAGCGAAAGCUUUGCUAAUACCGCAUACGAUCUACGGAUGAAAGCAGGGGACCGCAAGGCCUUGCGCGAACGGAGCGGCCGAUGGCAGAUUAGGUAGUUGGUGGGAUAAAAGCUUACCAGGCCGACGAUCUGUAGCUGGUCUGAGAGGACGAUCAGCCACACUGGGACUGAGACACGGCCCAGACUCCUACGGGAGGCAGCAGUGGGGAAUUUGGACAAUGGGCGAAAGCCUGAUCCAGCAAUGCCGCGUGCAGGAUGAAGGCCUUCGGGUUGUAAACUGCUUUUGUACGGAACGAAAAGCCCUGGGUUAAUACCCUGGGGUCAUGACGGUACCGUAAGAAUAAGCACCGGCUAACUACGUGCCAGCCGCCGUAGUAA